Non-coding RNA from Sturnus vulgaris (Common starling), 267 nucleotides. The record is from RefSeq and is a predicted model, not a curated record. Lineage: Eukaryota; Metazoa; Chordata; Aves; Passeriformes; Sturnidae.
CGUGUUUUCAAUUAUGAUUUGAAGUCCCCACAACAGCUGCAGAUUUCCUGUUUAAGAAAAGCCAAGAUUCUCCCACACCUGACCCAUUCCUUUAGCAGAUGAUGCUCUAAUCUUCCUUUGGCAUCUCGCUGCCGAUUGUCAAUGCAGCCGUGUGUACAUCUGAGAAUAAAUUUUCUAGGACAACACUGGGAGUUUAUCUGCCAGCUUUAAAAUCAUGUGACUGGUUCACAAACAGAUUUGUCUCUGGCAUGGCUUUUGCAACCACAC